This 393-nucleotide ribosomal RNA is filed under the name uncultured bacterium. Its description in RNAcentral is "partial 16S ribosomal RNA". It matches the Rfam family "Bacterial small subunit ribosomal RNA", at positions 338 to 729 of the family's 1533-position model. The record is from RNAcentral.
CCUACGGGAGGCAGCAGUGAGGAAUAUUGGUCAAUGGGCGAGAGCCUGAACCAGCCAAGCAGCGUGAGGGAUGACUGCCCUAGGGGUUGUAAACUUCUUUUAUCAGGGAAUAAAAUUGGGCACGUGUCCCUUUUUGCGUGUACUUUAUGAAAAAGGAUCGGCUAACUCCGUGCCAGCAGCCGCGGUAAUACGGGGGGUGCGAGCGUUAUACGGAUUUGUUGGUUUUAAGGGGAGGGUGGUGGGUUGGUUACGUCGUUGGUAAAGUUUGGGGGUUAAACGUAAAAGUGCAAUUUAUACUGGCAGACUUGAGUAAGGUAGAGGUAGGCGGAAUUCGAGGUGUAGCGGUGAAAUGCGUAGAUAUCGCGAAGAACUCCGAUGGCGAAGGCAGCGUAC